Triticum aestivum (bread wheat) is the source of this 379-nucleotide long non-coding RNA. RefSeq lists it as uncharacterized. The transcript has 2 exons. Lineage: Eukaryota; Viridiplantae; Streptophyta; Magnoliopsida; Poales; Poaceae. The record is from RefSeq and is a predicted model, not a curated record.
AAAUUGGAUGCUUCAAAGGAUUUGAAUGGAGUUUAUUGUAGGUUCAUGUGAAGUGGUGCUUAUGAAGAUCAUCGACAAGGCAGUUGAGUGGAGUCACUUAUUAGUAUGAAGUGGCGCCUAUGAAGUUGAUCGACAAGGCAGUUGAGUGAAGCCACUUAUUAGUAUGCUUAGUAGUUCUGGCUUUGUAGUUGUCUCUCCUUUGUUACGCUUGUGGUAUCGAACUUCCAUGUCGAGUGGCUGCUUUUUUGGUGUCGAUUUUCAUGUCAGGUGGUUAUCUUUUGUGGUCUUAUGAACGCACUGAAACCAAUUCUACCUUAUAAUCUCAAGCCGAUAAUGAGCCCAUGUCUUGCUUCUAUAAUAGUUGAAUGUUUCUUCUUCA